This 427-nucleotide ribosomal RNA is filed under the name uncultured bacterium. Its description in RNAcentral is "partial 16S ribosomal RNA". It matches the Rfam family "Bacterial small subunit ribosomal RNA", at positions 355 to 774 of the family's 1533-position model. The record is from RNAcentral.
UGGGGAAUAUUGCACAAUGGGCGCAAGCCUGAUGCAGCCAUGCCGCGUGUAUGAAGAAGGCCUUCGGGUUGUAAAGUACUUUCAGCGAGGAGGAAGGCGUUGUGGUUAAUAACCGCAGCGAUUGACGUUACUCGCAGAAGAAGCACCGGCUAACUCCGUGCCAGCAGCCGCGGUAAUACGGAGGGUGCAAGCGUUAAUCGGAAUUACUGGGUGUAAAGCGCACGCAGGCGGACUGUCAAGUCGGAUGUGAAAUCCCCGGGCUCAACCUGGGAACUGCAUCCGAAACUGGCAGGCUAGAGUCUUGUAGAGGGGGGUAGAAUUCCAGGUGUAGCGGUGAAAUGCGUAGAGAUCUGGAGGAAUACCGGUGGCGAAGGCGGCCCCCUGGACAAAGACUGACGCUCAGGUGCGAAAGCGUGGGGAGCAAACA